AAUCAACGCUGGCGGCGUGCCUCAGACAUGCAAGUCGAACGCGAAACCUUCCUUCGGGAGGGGAGUAGAGUGGCGCACGGGUGAGUAACACGUAGGUAAUCUACCUUUGGGUGGGGAAUAACAGCCGGAAACGGCUGCUAAUACCGCAUAAUGCAGCGGCUCGACAUCGAGACAGUUGUUAAAGCGGGGGAUCGUAAGACCUCGCGCCUAAAGAGGAGCCUGCGGCAGAUAGCUAGUUGGUAGGGUAAUGGCUUACCAAGGCGACGAUCUGUAGCCGGCCUGAGGAGGGCGGUCGGCCACACUGACACUGACAUACGGGUCAGACUCCUACGGGAGGCAGCAGUCGGGAA
Molecule: ribosomal RNA, 350 nt
Filed under: uncultured bacterium
Lineage: Bacteria
Description: bacterial SSU rRNA
Rfam family: Bacterial small subunit ribosomal RNA
Source: RNAcentral